UGCAAGUCGAACGAUGAUGCCCAGCUUGCUGGGUGGAUUAGUGGCGAACGGGUGAGUAACACGUGAGUAACCUGCCCCUGACUCUGGGAUAAGCGUUGGAAACGACGUCUAAUACUGGAUAUGACUGCCGGCCGCAUGGUCUGGUGGUGGAAAGAUUUUUUGGUUGGGGAUGGACUCGCGGCCUAUCAGCUUGUUGGUGAGGUAAUGGCUCACCAAGGCGACGACGGGUAGCCGGCCUGAGAGGGUGACCGGCCACACUGGGACUGAGACACGGCCCAGACUCCUACGGGAGGCAGCAGUGGGGAAUAUUGCACAAUGGGCGAAAGCCUGAUGCAGCAACGCCGCGUGAGGGAUGACGGCCUUCGGGUUGUAAACCUCUUUUAGUAGGGAAGAAGCGCAAGUGACGGUACCUGCAGAAAAAGCACCGGCUAACUACGUGCCAGCAGCCGCGGUAAUACGUAGGGUGCAAGCGUUGUCCGGAAUUAUUGGGCGUAAAGAGCUCGUAGGCGGUUUGUCGCGUCUGCUGUGAAAUCCCGAGGCUCAACCUCGGGCUUGCAGUGGGUACGGGCAGACUAGAGUGCGGUAGGGGAGAUUGGAAUUCCUGGUGUAGCGGUGGAAUGCGCAGAUAUCAGGAGGAACACCGAUGGCGAAGGCAGAUCUCUGGGCCGUAACUGACGCUG
RNAcentral lists this ribosomal RNA (680 nucleotides) under Curtobacterium sp. RNAcentral's name for it is "bacterial SSU rRNA". It matches the Rfam family "Bacterial small subunit ribosomal RNA", at positions 56 to 748 of the family's 1533-position model. Lineage: Bacteria; Bacillati; Actinomycetota; Actinomycetes; Micrococcales; Microbacteriaceae. The record is from RNAcentral.